Physeter macrocephalus (sperm whale) is the source of this 647-nucleotide long non-coding RNA. RefSeq lists it as uncharacterized. The record is from RefSeq and is a predicted model, not a curated record. NCBI's taxonomy places the organism in Eukaryota, Metazoa, Chordata, Mammalia, Artiodactyla, Physeteridae. The transcript has 3 exons.
CCAGCUGCGCCCGCGACCGGCCGCGCCUUUAACCGCUCGGGCGAGGGCGCUCACCUACCCGCGCUCUCGGCGCCAGAUUUGCGGGAAAUCUCACGUCCACGACUUUUAAAGCGGCCGCGGGGUUUGGGGGGCGGUUAUUGAAGCCUGUGGACCCGCCCUGCCUGCGGUGCUGAACCGUGGGCGCCCGGAAGCCCCGACCGCGAUGCUCAAAGCGGCGGUGGGGCUGCAGCAACGCAUCCAGGCGGUGGAAGGCGGCGGAGAGAGCCCUCCAGAUGAGAGCACCCUUCCCAGCGACGGAGGCCUUGGAAAAGGAUGUGGCUUUCUCCGAGGAGCAACAGGUUAUGGCUUCCCUGGUGGCGCAAUGGUUAAGAAUCCGCCUGCCAAUGCAGGGGACACGGGUUCAAGCCCUGGCCCGGGAAGAUCCCACGUGCCACGGAGCAACUAAGCCCGAGCGUCGGCGACAACUACUGAGCCUGCGCUCUAGAGCCCGCGGGCCACAGCUACUGAAGCCCGUGCGCCACAAUUACCGAAACCCGAGCUCCGCAACAAGAGAAGCCACCGCAAAGAGAAGCCCGUACACUGCAAUGAAGAGGAGCCCCCGCUCGUCGCAACUAGGGAAAGCCCGCGCGCAGCAACGAAGACCCAAC